CUGACAGUUGCAAAUCCACCGCUCUCUGCUGUGCUGCUGUGCUGAGAAGGGGACUUUGCAAACCGCCUUUUCCCGGAGCUUGGCUUGCUUCCUGCUUCUGCCGGCAGAGGGCUCUGCACGGGGCGGGCCCAGGGAGGGAGGCGGGGCCUCAUGACCGGCGGGCUUCGCCCACCCCGGAUGCGGUGGCGCCUCGCCCGGCGGCCGCCGCUGGUUGCAGCCUUCCCCCUUCUUCCCGCGCUUCCAGAAGCAGCCUCGUGGGAGGCGCCGUCUUCCUCAGAAGCACCUUCUCUAAACCCCUGGUCCCAGCAGCAUCCGGGUAGCAGCGCUCCCGCCUCCACAGGAAUGAGAUGUAAGCCAGGAGGCAAGCCUGAGGCCGAGAAGCCACCAGGGAUGGCAGAGUCUCCUGCAGGAUUGAAGGUGGCCAGGGCCGAGGUCAAGGCCCCGAUGGAGGCCGCAGGCAAGGUGGAUGGAAACGAGACCAAGAGAAAAAAAUAAGCAACUUAAUAACCUACUUUUACCCAGAGAAUGGAAAAUAAAAUGCAAGAUUCCAAACCCUGCCCUUUCA
This 565-nucleotide long non-coding RNA is filed under the name Sus scrofa (pig). Its description in RNAcentral is "lncRNA (ENSSSCG00030063478.1)". The record is from RNAcentral. Lineage: Eukaryota; Metazoa; Chordata; Mammalia; Artiodactyla; Suidae.